UAUUAUUCAAUUUCUAUGAGUUACAUUUGGUGGAAGGGACAAUUUUAAGAUUAAUUUAUUAUCUAUAAGGCAGACAUAUGUACAAGAAAAAAUGCAUUUCAAAGUCGAAAAGACAGAUUAGACAAAUUCCUCUGACAGGUGUAACUAUAAAGCAUGAGUAGUAUCAUGAGAGAAAUAUAAAACUUAUCAUAUUACCGACACUUCAUUGACUCAUAUCGUUAAAACAGAUUGAUUAGGCAUGUGAAGGAAAAACCACAGUAACAUUCUCAUAGCAUAGCAGGAUCAGAUUGAGGCACUAAUAAGAUAAAGGAAUUACCUCAACUCAGAAAACCAAAACAGGUGAAGUGUUCAUAAAUUACAAUAUAAAUUGCAAGGCAAGAGAAACAAAAUUUUAAAAAAAUAAAACAAAGUGUGAUAUGUUAAAGACAAUAACAAUAACAAUAAACCCCACAAACAAGAAGCAAUAGCAGUAGCUGAAGAUAAUUGCUACUGCCUCUGCAGCCAUGAAUUAUGGUCUCCAAAUUCAUCCCUAUACAUACAUUUUUCUCUCUCUCUCUCUGCAACCUAAUUUUUCUCUGCCAUUUUUAUUUCACAAGUGUAAUAUUCAUCAUAACAAUUGAAAUCAAUAUGGGAGAGACUUUCUUAUAUUACCUCAAUCCACUAUAACCUUUUCUUUGAUUUUCCAAUGACCCAUAAAUGAUCAUAAUCAUAAAUAAGAACAAACCCUUCUCUUUCUCUUUGAUGUUUAUACAUUAUUUUCCCUAUAGGCGAUGAGAAUCGCACAAUUGAGGAAGAGGGUACAUAAGAAAUGGUCACCAAAAUAAUAAAAAUGUGAACUUUAAUUCGUUGUUGAUAGAGGCAAAAGGGUUAGAUGAGACAAGUUCUUAAAAGAAUCAAUAAAAGGGUGGUGGAGGAGGUGAUGCAUAUGAGACUCCAAUAACAGGUGGUAAUGGCCCUUCAUAUACUGGGGCAGGUGGUGGAGAUUGUGGUCGUGGUGGCGGCGGCCAACUGUAAUGAACUGGUGAUGGUGGUGGCAGGUAAGGUGUUGUAUAUGGUGGUGGUGGGUGCUCUUCACAAGAUGUUGGAGGUGGAGGUGGGGGAGGGGAUGGUUCUAUACAAGGUGGUGGUGGAGAUGGUGGUGGUGGGGGAGAGUGAACUGGGGGUGGAGGUGGUGGAGACAAAUAGGGGUAAACUGGUGGUGGAGGUGAAUGAGGUGGUGGUGGUGGUGGAGGGGAGUG
This 1238-nucleotide long non-coding RNA is filed under the name Lupinus angustifolius (narrow-leaved blue lupine). RNAcentral describes it as "long non-coding RNA (LANG_LNC003752)". Lineage: Eukaryota; Viridiplantae; Streptophyta; Magnoliopsida; Fabales; Fabaceae. The record is from RNAcentral.